Macaca fascicularis (crab-eating macaque) is the source of this 1769-nucleotide long non-coding RNA. The record is from Ensembl. NCBI's taxonomy places the organism in Eukaryota, Metazoa, Chordata, Mammalia, Primates, Cercopithecidae.
CCUGGGUCUGGCUGGAGGUGGCUUGCUGGGCCUCCCCUCCACAGGGGGAAUGUGCACAAGUCUGCUCCAUUAUUCACACUGGAUUAGGGUCCCCCGGGUGCCUAGUCUGAGUCUCCUGUAGGAUCCAGGCAGGAGCGUCUGUAAUUACAUCUCCCUCCUGCUUCCCACCGCCGAGCCUGCUUGGCUCGGGCCUGGUUGCAUCAUGUCUGUGGGAGCCCCGGGGGAGACGGGGGACAGGGAGUGAGCCAGAGAUGAGCUAGGGUGUGGAGGAGGAGCGGGGAGAGAAGCUGGGCAGGAAGGAGCUAGAAGGAUUCCAGAAUUCACAGAUCCUGCAUCCUCAUAGCUCAGAACCUGAAAUGCAAAGGAAUCUAGGAUCCCAGGACCUCCGAGGGCUGGAAUUCCAGCAUCUUUCAAUCCUAUGGGGCCAAGAUCCUGGGGUCCUGCGCCCUAGGAUUCCAGAGCUCGGCAUAUCAGGAGAAGUGUAAGGAGUUCCUGAGCCUAGGCUCUUGGGAGCUAGAUCCUUCGAGCGCUGGAAUGUCGGAGCUGCGUAGUGCAAACCCUUCCUCCUUCCCAUCCCUGGUCUUGGGGGACAGAAACUAUGGAGAUGUAAGCUUUUGAAUGGGACCUGGGUUGGGGGAAGGGAGGGCCGGCGGGAGUGGGACACAGAGGGGACCAGCAGGAGGUGUCUUUCUGGAGGAAGAGGAGGAUGGGGAACUGGGGCUGGGGGAAGGAGAAGCCAGGAGUCACAAUCCAGAAGGGACAGGGCAGGUCCCCGUGUGCCCAUCCUCCAUGAGAACAGAUCCGAAUAAUCUUAUUAGAUUUACCGCCUCGUAGCAGCACCAGCUUCUGGUCACCAGCUGCUGCUUCCUGCCACCCCCAGAGGUGAAGUCAGCUCUGGGGCCAGGCCCAGGCUGGGGUCAGAGACAGGCCAGGAGGUAGAGGUGGCUGCAGGGCGAGGUGCUUGUUCCUCCAGACCCCAAGGGCUCUCAGCUGCCCUAUUCCAGGCUGUCUUCCCUCUGCACCCCCAUCGCAAACUGCACCUCAACCCAGGCGCUCAGAGCAGCGCAUGGCCUGGCUGAAGGGGUAGGGCAGGGGACGGAAAGCUCAGAGCCAGCAGGAGCUGCAGUCUUGGCCAUCACUUCCUAGGGGAACGGUUCAACAGUCCCAUCUUGCUCAAUGCUCACAGUAGCCUUCAAGGGGACUCUGUUUAUCCCCAUUUUACAGACAAAGAAAACAGGCCUGGGGCCCAGCGCAGUGGCUUAUGCCUGUAAUCCCAGAACUCUGGAAGGCCAAGGCAGGCGGAUCAUUUGAGGUCAGGAGUUCAAGACCAGCCUGGCCAACAUGGUGAAACCCUGUCUCUACUAAAAAUACAAAAAUUAGCUGGGCAUGGUGGCGCGCACCUGUAAUCCCCGCUACUCGGGACAGUGAGGCACGAGAAUCGCUUGAACCCAGGAGGCAGAGGUUGCAGUGAGCCGAGAUUGCACCAGUGCACUCCAGCCUGAGGACAGAGCAAGACUCCAUCUCAAAAAGAAAGAAAGAAAAAUAGGCCCAUCCUGGCUAACACGGUGAAACCCCGUCUCUACUAAAAAAUACAAAAAACUAGCCGGGCAAGGUGGCGGGCGCCUGUAGUCCCAGCUACUCGGGAGGCUGAGGCAGGAGAAUGGCGGGAACCCGGGAGGCGGAGCUUGCAGUGAGCUGAGAUCCGGCCACUGCACUGCAGCCUGGGUGACAGAGUGAGACUCCGUCUCAAAAAAAAAAAAAAAAAAAAA